GUGCUCCCUUUGGCAGCACAUGUAAUAAAAUUGGAAUGAUACAGAGAAGAUCCACAUGGGCCCCCGUGCAAGGAUGACACGCAAAUCCGUGAAGAGUUCCACAUUAAA
This 108-nucleotide small nuclear RNA is filed under the name Dasypus novemcinctus (nine-banded armadillo). Lineage: Eukaryota; Metazoa; Chordata; Mammalia; Cingulata; Dasypodidae. The record is from RNAcentral.